AUAUCAAUAAGCGGAGGAAAAGAAACUAACAAGGAUUCCCCUAGUAACUGCGAGUGAAGCGGGAAAAGCUCAAAUUUAAAAUCUGGCGGUUUCUGGACUGUCCGAGUUGUAAUCUAGAGAAGUGUUUACCUGUGCUGGACCGUGUACAAGUCUCCUGGAAUGGAGCAUCAUAGAGGGUGAGAAUCCCGUCUUUGACACGGACUACCCGUACAUUAUGGGUGCGCUCUCAAAGAGUCGAGUUGUUUGGGAAUGCAGCUCAAAAUGGGUGGUAAAUGCCAUCUAAAGCUAAAUAUUGGCGAGAGACCGAUAGCGAACAAGUACCGUGAGGGAAAGAUGAAAAGAACUUUGGAAAGAGAGUUAAACAGUACGUGAAAUUGCUGAAAGGGAAACGCUUGAAGUCAGUCGCGUUGGCUGGAAAUCAGCCUUGCUUUUGCUUGGUGUAUUUUCUGGUCCGACGGGUCAGCAUCAAUUUUGACCAUUGGAUAAAGUCUUUUUGGGAAUGUGGCAUCUUUUGGAUGUGUUAUAGCCCAUGGUCGCAUACAGUGGUUGGGAUUGAGGAACUCAGCACGCCGCAAGGCCGGGUUUCGACCACGUUUCCGUGCUUAGGAUGCUGGCAUAAUGGCUUUAAUCGA
Molecule: ribosomal RNA, 632 nt
Filed under: uncultured fungus
Lineage: Eukaryota; Fungi
Description: eukaryotic LSU rRNA
Rfam family: Eukaryotic large subunit ribosomal RNA
Source: RNAcentral